Molecule: long non-coding RNA, 2332 nt
Filed under: Homo sapiens (human)
Lineage: Eukaryota; Metazoa; Chordata; Mammalia; Primates; Hominidae
Description: HSALNT0066150
Source: RNAcentral
UCCCAGUUCAAGAACCCCCAGGCAGAAAGAAUUCUGUCUUACUUGGGAGAGGUUGGGGGGGGGGGGUCAGUCUUUAUGUUCUAUGCAGGCCUUCAGUUGAUUGGAUGAGGCCCACCCACAUUAGAGAAGGCAGUUUGCUUUAUUCACUCUACUGAUUUAAAUGUUAAUCUCAUCCAAAAACGCCCUCACAGAAACACCCACAGUAAUGUUUGACUAAACAUCUGGGAACCCCAUGACCGAGGCUUCUGACUCCUCCAAAACAUAACUAAUAAUGGAGCCUUAUUGAUAACAUAGACAAUUAACACAUAUUUUGUCUAUGUAUUAUUUACUGUAUUCUUAUACUAAAAUAAGCUAGAUAAAAGAAAAUGUUAUUAAGAAAAUAGAUCUACUCUUCAUUAAGUGGAAGUGGAUUAUCAUAAAGUUUGUCAUGUAGAGUAGGCUGAGGAGGAGGAGGAGGAAGACAAGGGCUCCAUCUUGCUGAAGAGAAGGGCUCCAUCUUGCUGUUUCUGGGUGGCAGAGAUGGAACAGAUAGAGGAGCUGGAAGAGGAAGCAGAAGAGGAAGACACACUUUGUCAGCUGAAAGCGUGCGGUGGCUCACGCCUAUAAUCCCAGCACCUUGGGAGGCCAUGGCAGGAGGAUCACCUGAGAUCAGGAGUUCAAGACCAGCCUGGUGAAACCCCAUCUCUACAAAAAAUACAAAACUUAGCCGGGCAUGGUGGCAUGCACCUAUAACCCCAGCUACUAGGGAGGCUGAGACAGGAAAAUCGCUUGCACCCGGGAGGUGGAGGUUGCAGUGAGCCAAGAUCACACCACUGCACUGCAGCCUGGACAACAGAGCAAGACUCCAUCUCAAAUAAAUAAAUAAAUAAAUAAAUAAAUAAAUAAAUAAAUAAAUAAGAAUAGCAGGUUCCUGGUUGCGUAGCUUUCUGCAUAUGGCAGAGAAAACCAAUACCUUGGUAAGUCAAAUUUGCUGUGUUGUUCUGGAGUCACUUCUGGAAUCCCAGCCCUAGAGCUUGUGUCUCCAGCUUUUCUAAUGAUAUUGAAGUUCCAAAGACGCUUUCAACCCCAAGACCAGAAACACAUUUCUGAAGGAAAUCCUACUAUUCUUGAAUAGUUCCAUGGUGGCCAUUCUCUGCGGGCAAGCAUGACAGUGGAAACUGCUGCCAUUAAAUUGAGAUCCCUAAGUUCAAUCAGGAUGGGGGUUUCCUGGAGUGGCAGGGACGCCAUGAUCAACUAACUAAUUCCAAAGAACUCCGUGGAUCAAACCAUCUGUUUACUGCUUUGGCUCUGCUGUCCAUCACGAUAAUUAUGCCCACCUUGUCCUCUAGACUGAAGACAGAAAAAAACUCAUUUAAAAACACUGGUGGUUGCCAGAUGCUAGAGAAGAGUAAAUUUAACAGUGACUUAGGCAAAAUUAUAUGGUAAAGUGUUAAACAAAUAAUUUAGAAAAUAAAUUUAAAAGUUAGAAAAGAAAACAGUAAUUACUCAGAACUAACACAAUUUCAGUAAAAGUAAUCUAUGCUAAAGUGGUCUCAUUUGUGCUUUCAAUGAAUUUACCCAAUCAGGAAAGGAGUUAUAUAUUAUAUUAUAGUAUGAAGUUAUUCAUACAUUUCAUGUGAACAAACAGUGUGAUAGAAGAAACCUGGAUUUUAUUAAUAACAGUAUAGUGGCAAAUAAAGAACAACUCCAUUCUAAUUUGCACUGAUUAAUCUAUAUAUGAACUGCCAAGACAAGUGUUGAAUAUAAUAUUUUAAAAGAAGUGUUUACCAAACAGAAUAGUCUACAAAGAAGAGACAAGCUCGAUAAGGACUCUGGAUAAUGCAUCAUAUUUAAAAAUGAUUGUGCUCACUGGAGUUUUGUCUCUAAAUACAAAAAUAAAACUACUGUCACUACCUUUUAGGAGAGCACCUGCCUUUAUAGAAAGUGUGAAUAUGUGAACUAGGAAAUUAAUUUAUUUGGGAUACCUUCAAAGGAAUAUCUAGCAUCAAAUCUAUACAUUUCCAAGGAGAGAGGUUUGGGUGCAAUGUCCAGAAAAACCUUCUACUUGUUGCUGUUGCUCAGUAGUGGAAUUAACUGCUUUAGAAAGCAAGGAGUUCUGGGCUCUUGGAAUGUUCACACAGAAGCUGAUUUUCCAUCUGCUGUGCAUGCUCUGGUUGAGGGCAUUCCUGCAACCUCAACCAAAGGAGGCUAAACUACAUGACCUUUAAGAUCCUUUCUAAUCUCAGAUUCCGUGAAGAGUGCUCAGACAAUAUUAAAAAAGGAAAAGGAAUUUCUGAGAUGCAUGGGAACUCUACAAACUGGCUUCCUAAGAAGGUUUAAACAAAGGCUGAAU